RNAcentral lists this ribosomal RNA (500 nucleotides) under uncultured bacterium. Its description in RNAcentral is "bacterial SSU rRNA". It matches the Rfam family "Bacterial small subunit ribosomal RNA", at positions 28 to 507 of the family's 1533-position model. The record is from RNAcentral.
GACGAACGCUGGCGGCGUGCCUAAUACAUGCAAGUCGAGCGGAAUGAUGAAGAAGCUUGCUUCUUCUGAUUUUAGCGGCGGACGGGUGAGUAACACGUGGGCAACCUACCUUGUAGAUUGGGAUAACUCCGGGAAACCGGGGCUAAUACCGAAUAAUCCAUUUUGCUUCAUGGCGAGAUGUUGAAAGACGGUUUCGGCUGUCACUACAAGACGGGCCCGCGGCGCAUUAGCUAGUUGGUAGGGUAAUGGCCUACCAAGGCGACGAUGCGUAGCCGACCUGAGAGGGUGAUCGGCCACACUGGGACUGAGACACGGCCCAGACUCCUACGGGAGGCAGCAGUAGGGAAUCUUCCACAAUGGACGAAAGUCUGAUGGAGCAACGCCGCGUGAGUGAAGAAGGUUUUCGGAUCGUAAAACUCUGUUGUAAGGGAAGAACACGUACGAGAGUAACUGCUCGUACCUUGACGGUACCUUAUUAGAAAGCCACGGCUAACUACGUG